UCUGUUGUUAGGGAAGAACAAGUGCCGUUCAAAUAGGGCGGCACCUUGACGGUACCUAACCAGAAAGCCACGGCUAACUACGUGCCAGCAGCCGCGGUAAUACGUAGGUGGCAAGCGUUGUCCGGAAUUAUUGGGCGUAAAGGGCUCGCAGGCGGUUUCUUAAGUCUGAUGUGAAAGCCCCCGGCUCAACCGGGGAGGGUCAUUGGAAACUGGGGAACUUGAGUGCAGAAGAGGAGAGUGGAAUUCCACGUGUAGCGGUGAAAUGCGUAGAGAUGUGGAGGAACACCAGUGGCGAAGGCGACUCUCUGGUCUGUAACUGACGCUGAGGAGCGAAAGCGUGGGGAGCGAACAGGAUUAGAUACCCUGGUAGUCCACGCCGUAAACGAUGAGUGCUAAGUGUUAGGG
RNAcentral lists this ribosomal RNA (405 nucleotides) under Bacillus amyloliquefaciens. RNAcentral describes it as "bacterial SSU rRNA". It matches the Rfam family "Bacterial small subunit ribosomal RNA", at positions 432 to 828 of the family's 1533-position model. The record is from RNAcentral. Lineage: Bacteria; Bacillati; Bacillota; Bacilli; Caryophanales; Bacillaceae.